Molecule: long non-coding RNA, 4017 nt
Filed under: Brassica rapa (field mustard)
Lineage: Eukaryota; Viridiplantae; Streptophyta; Magnoliopsida; Brassicales; Brassicaceae
Description: long non-coding RNA (BRAP_LNC000188)
Source: RNAcentral
CAUCACAAAAAUAGGUUCGAUAGAUUCUGUUUUUCGGUGAUGGUAAACAGAAACAAUGCUGCAGUUGUAUCUUGGGAAUCUGAGCGCCAUAAAACCGUCACACUACGGGGCGUUUAAAGAUUUAAGGAAAGAGAUUAACUAUCUCGACUCUGCAAUUCUUCUUUAUUUUUAUAUUUUGGUAUUGAAAUUUUAGUUUAUGUUCUUAUUAUUCUUUACAAAUAUCAGUUGUCCUAUGGUAGUAAAAUAAGGUUCCUACACUCUUAAAUCUUUAAGUAUUGUUUAUGCUUUUGCACUAACAAUACUGAUAUUUGUUAAAAGUUAUUGUUUUUUUUAAGAACAGGUUAAUCGACGGUAUCGAAACAAAAUCUGGAUUUGUGUUUUCUUCAACCAGCUUUUGAGAUUGUGUAAAGCUUGUGUUCUUGAGCUAACAUUAUUUUUUGCAGGAUCGGUUGAAUUAUUUAAAAUAAUUCUCCUGCACUUACGUGUUUCGGUUGUGAUUUGCAUGAUUUAUUGAUUAUUAGUUUUAUUCCUGUUCAGUCAAUAGCAGUGAUCGAUCUUGUUUUCAGCACUAAUGAUAGUAACACUGGUUUAAGUUUUAUGAAACUAGUCAACAGGUGCUGAUCGUGGGUUCUAGCAAUCGAACGGGAAGAUAAAUUGCAGGUUGUGGUGUUUGAUUAUUGAUUAUAUUAAAUUGCAAAAUUUGAUGAUUUAAAAAAAAAAUUAUGUCAGUUUUUUAUCAUUUUCAAUAUGUUUUUUGAAAAGAAAAAGAGAAAAAAAAACUGAUGUAGAUUUUAUAUCCAACCGUUACAAAUUGCAAAGGAAAAAGGUUUAUUGCUUUUGGUGAAAGAUAUGUUUUAACUAUUGAUAUUUAAUUAGUAAAACAAUAUGUGGAAUAAAACGUUUUUCUGGAUUACUUACUGUGGAGUUGUUGUUUAAACUUUAUUAGUCAUAUGUUUGGUAUUGAGUAGUAUAUUAAUCUGGGUUUGGUUUCUAGUGAACAAACCCAUAUGACAAUAUAGCUAAACCAAAGUGAUUAAUAAAAUCUCGAUUUUUAAGAGAUCGAAUGAUAUAUAUAUGGAAAUGGAUUUAGUGAGUCGACGCCCCAAAUUAAGUUUGGGAGAGGUCUGCCACAUAUAAAUCAUUUGCCAUAGGAAAUAAAAUGUUUGUUGAUAUUGGUCAUAAACAUUUAUAUUUCAUCAAUGCUUAAAUGCAAGUUACAAGAAGAUUGACCAUGCAAAAACAAUGAUAAUUUUCAGACCAAUAUGAUUGAAACUGACAUGUGUAUUGUAGUUUAUAAAGUCAAUAUGGUUGAAAAUAAUCAUAUAUAAUGGUGGUUUUGAUAACACAAAUAAUAUCUUGUGUAUAUUUGUUAAAAAAGCAAAAUAUGUGUUUGGAAAAGAUCCAAAACAUACAAGUUAGAUUUAUAAAUCAACUUGAGAGAACUAUGAAAAUAGUUGUAUGUAAAAUGUGAAUUUUUAAGAAUGAAACACAUUUUUUCAAGAAAAUUGUAAUAAUUUUUGAAAUUGCUUUUAAUUCAUUUAAAUCUAAAGGAGUUGUAGAUUAAUUUUCUAAACUCUUAAGAGAUGUUAAAUGUAAUUAUGCAUGUUUUGAGCUAUCUCAAGAAAUGUGGGGGAAGCUUUGCUUACCAUAUAAAGUCGUUGGCAAGAGGUCAUAUGAACUUAGUGAUAGUUAUCACAAUAUAAUUUUUUUUUUCUUAGUGGUCGUUCAGAUGCGAUGCGAUUACCCGUGUUUUACCAGUGACUUUGAGGCGUCGACUCAUUCAAUCCAUUAAAAAAAAAAAAAACAAGCUAGUGUCAUACACUGAGUUUUGUGUAUAAUGGUUAAUUGUAUCUUGAAUAAAAGAUGACAAAAAUCAUUAGACAAUUGAUCUCCACUAAUCUCAAGAGAUUAUGUUCACUAUGGUGACAACCUAGGAUCUUUUAAUUAAAGGUGUGUCAUGAGAUCAAAUUGUUAUAUCAUCAAAAGGAAUGGGUCGCCUGUGAAUUAAGAUGAGGUUUCGCGGUAACUCUACCUAACUGACUGGAGAUCCCAAGAAAUAGGUUCAAGGAGACAACUAAGUGAAACUAAGUCUGUCCAAAGCACUGUAAGACUUCGGUCUAUACCCAGUUCCUAUGAUGAUUAAACAGUGCUACAUGUAAAGAAUACAGGAUAAGCAUUAGCUUUUAAUAAUUUGUGUCCAUAGCUUUGAGAUAUGAAUGGAGUAGUACAUGAUACUCCUCUAAACAAAGUUAAUGGCAAAUCACCUUGUGAGUGUGAAAUGGGGCCGUUUCUAGGAGAAUGAAGGAAAGGCUAUAUUCUCCAAGUUCACUCAUGAUUAACCAAGACUGUUCACGGCCAAAAUGAACACAAUAGAGAACCUAGUUCUGUGAGAGAAUGAAGCUGUGUUAUGGCUAUUGUCUAGGUUUAUACCAAAGCCCGGGAGGUUCAAGACAUCAUGGCCACCUCCUGGCCGAGUAAAUCCGAUAGCUAUUAACAAUGACUGGUUCAAGGCUGAAAAAUUGCUACCAACUCAUCAUGCAGUGGAUUUUUCGUUUGUACUCUCAAAAGUCCUUAGUUAGGUCUUGUCGAGUCUUGUCUAGGAAGUUGAGUCUUGUCUAGAAAGUCUGUCGAGUCAUCUAGUGUCUAGAGUCAUUUCUAUUCAUGUGGGGGAUUGUUGGAACUAUUUUUUGAACAUUAUGAAUAAUGUAUUCAUAUGUCAAAAAAGAAGUUUUAUUUGAAUGAGAAAUGGAGGUCUAAUGUGUAUGAUUUGAAAAACUUGUAUAAAGUAGCAAAUACACACAUUGGAUAUUUGAAAUUGGAUUUGGGUUUUUUGAUUUGUUAGUUGGACUUCAUGUUCAUUGACUUAAUCUUAUAAACCAAAUAUAUGUUGAUCUUUUAUAUUGAUAAAAUAUAAAAAAGAAAUCCAUUUUAAAGUAUAUUAUUUUGUUUGAAUUGGUCAAAACAAUAAUAAUUUUAUUCUUUAAUUUCUUGGUCAAAAUGUGGAAUAAAUUCACAUAAUAAUGACAAGAAUUAAAAAACUCCAUUAGUGCACUAUGGAGGUUUCAUUUUUGUGUUGAAAAAUGAAACUUGUGCUUCUCAUUAUAUUUCUAUAUAAAGGCUUGUGAGCCAUUUAGAAAACAUACACAUUCAUACAAUCAAGAACAUUUCUCCCACUCAGAAUAGUUAUGCUAGUAUUUUUUAUUCUUUUGAGUCUGAGAGUACAUCACAAAAAUAGGUUCGAUAGAUUCUGUUUUUCGGUGAUGGUAAACAGAAACAAUGCUGCAGUUGUAUCUUGGGAAUCUGAGCGCCAUAAAACCGUCACACUACGGGGCGUUUAAAGAUUUAAGGAAAGAGAUUAACUAUCUCGACUCUGCAAUUCUUCUUUAUUUUUAUAUUUUGGUAUUGAAAUUUUAGUUUAUGUUCUUAUUAUUCUUUACAAAUAUCAGUUGUCCUAUGGUAGUAAAAUAAGGUUCCUACACUUCACUAGGAACCUAGGUUCACAGCGAGGCAUCUGAACGACACAGUGGCAGACCACUCUCAAACUUAAUUUGAGGCGUCCACUAAGACUUAUGCGAAUAUCAUGAUCUCAUCUGAGAAUUUGGAGUUUAUAAACGUUUCCUAAGAACUUUGAUAAUUUUUUUUUUUUUUUUUGAAACACAACUUUGAUAAUAUUUUAUAAUACUUUUUCCAAAGUUUAGGGGCUUGUAUCUUUGUAUGUAAUCUCUAAAAAUGUUGGAGAUCAAAACCAAUGUUCCACAAGGAUGUGUCCAAAUUAAAUUCGGCUCUAGCGAACAUUCCUACCACUUAUGUGAGAUAUAUGCCACAUGGGUAAUCGCAUCGCAUCUGAACCAAAAGGAUGUAACUGGUAAUGAUCUAAAUAAAGACAGAAUUCAGUUUAAUUCUGAGUUCAAAUGCACAUAUACAGCAUUGCGACAAUUCAAGUGCACAAGAGGAUAGCCUUAUCCAUAAUAUGUAAUAUACGAUCUUGAAGACUCGUAAACUUAUAAUUUGUAAAAC